GAUGAACGCUGGCGGCGUGCCUAAUACAUGCAAGUCGAGCGAACAGACGAGGAGCUUGCUCCUCUGACGUUAGCGGCGGACGGGUGAGUAACACGUGGAUAACCUACCUAUAAGACUGGGAUAACUUCGGGAAACCGGAGCUAAUACCGGAUAAUAUAUUGAACCGCAUGGUUCAAUAGUGAAAGACGGUUUUGCUGUCACUUAUAGAUGGAUCCGCGCCGCAUUAGCUAGUUGGUACGGUAACGGCUUACCAAGGCAACGAUGCGUAGCCGACCUGAGAGAGUGAUCGGCCACACGGGAACUGGGACACGGUCCAGACUCCUACGGGAGGCAGCAGUAGGGAAUCUUCCGCAAUGGGCGAAAGCCUGACGGAGCAACGCCGCGUGAGUGAUGAAGGUCUUCGGAUCGUAAAACUCUGUUAUUAGGGAAGAACAAAUGUGUAAGUAACUAUGCACGUCUUGACGGUACCUAAUCAGAAAGCCACGGCUAACUACGUG
This 497-nucleotide ribosomal RNA is filed under the name uncultured bacterium. RNAcentral describes it as "partial 16S ribosomal RNA". It matches the Rfam family "Bacterial small subunit ribosomal RNA", at positions 28 to 507 of the family's 1533-position model. The record is from RNAcentral.